AGAGAGAGACAUGCGCGCAUAUCAAUAAGCGGAGGAAAAGAAACUAACAAGGAUUCCCUUAGUAACGGCGAGUGAAGCGGGAAGAGCUCAAAUUUGAAAUCUUCAAGGUUUUACCUUGACGAAUUGUAGUUUAAAGAAGUGUUUUCUGCUGAAGUUUUGGUAAAAGUUCUUUGGAAUAGGACAUCAUAGAGGGUGAGAAUCCCGUAUUUGACCAUUAUUUUCAGCUUUGUGAUACACUUUCAAAGAGUCGGAUUGUUUGGGAAUGCAGUCCAAAAUGGGUGGUAAAUUUCAUCUAAAGCUAAAUAUUGGCGAGAGACCGAUAGCGAACAAGUACCGUGAGGGAAAGAUGAAAAGAACUUUGAAAAGAGAGUUAAACAGUACGUGAAAUUGUCAAAAGGGAAGCGUUUGACACCAGUGUUGUUUUCUCGAAAAUCAGUUAAAAAUGGCUCGAUUUUGUAUUGUUGAGACCUUAAAAGCUCACUGUACAUUUUUCGUGUCCUUUUUUAAUGCACUUUUCGUUUAACAAGUCAACAUCAGUUUCUUUUGUUGUAAAAGGGUCAUUGGAAGGUGGCUUUCUUUUCGGAGAAAGUGUUUAUAGCCUUUGGCCUCUGCAAUCGAAGAGACUGAGGUCUGCAGCGUAGACUCUUCGGGGUUAGAUACAUUUGUGCUAAGUUAUAGCUUUUUAUAGACAACUUGUUGACUAUAAUUAGUCUUGUAGCUUACUCGCUUAUGCUAUUUUACCUACGCUUAGGAUGUUGAGUCGUAGAGCACGCAG
This 775-nucleotide ribosomal RNA is filed under the name uncultured Neocallimastigales. RNAcentral's name for it is "partial large subunit ribosomal RNA". It matches the Rfam family "Eukaryotic large subunit ribosomal RNA", at positions 23 to 634 of the family's 3401-position model. Lineage: Eukaryota; Fungi; Neocallimastigomycota; Neocallimastigomycetes; Neocallimastigales. The record is from RNAcentral.